GCCUGCCAGGCAGGUGCUUAUGCUGAUGAGCUAUCUCCCCAGCCCAACAUUUUUUCAUACACUAUUCGAUGUUUAUAACAAAAAACAAAAGGUGCUGGUUGCGCUGGCAGCUCUCCAAUUCAUUCACAGUCACUGGCCAUCUAUAAGCUACUACUACCUCAUCCAAAGAAAUCCAAUCAUUUCUGGAUCAUGAAACCAGUCCUUCUGAUGUAACAUCACUCCAAAACUUGUCAUCUGUGUCUGUGUCCUAUGGUCAGAAGAAAUAAAAGUUUAUCUACCG
Molecule: long non-coding RNA, 280 nt
Filed under: Chinchilla lanigera (long-tailed chinchilla)
Lineage: Eukaryota; Metazoa; Chordata; Mammalia; Rodentia; Chinchillidae
Description: lncRNA (ENSCLAG00000028706.1)
Source: RNAcentral